Long non-coding RNA from Oncorhynchus keta (chum salmon), 847 nucleotides. RefSeq lists it as uncharacterized. The transcript has 3 exons. The record is from RefSeq and is a predicted model, not a curated record. Lineage: Eukaryota; Metazoa; Chordata; Actinopteri; Salmoniformes; Salmonidae.
AGUCUAUAUGCUCCUUAUAGAGGUCCAAGGGGUUAAAUAACCUGGGUUGUAAAGUCAACUGUCUAUAUGCUCCUUAUAGAGGUCCAAGGGGUUAAAUAACCUGGGUUGUAAAGUCAACUGUCUAUAUGCUCCUUAUAGAGGUCCAAGGGGUUAAAUAACCUGGGUUGUAAAGUCAACAGUCUAUAUGCUCCUUAUAGAGGUCCAAGGGGUUAAAUAACCUGGGUUGUAAAGUCAACUGUCUAUAUGCUCCUUAUAGAGGUCCAAGGGGUUAAAUAACCUGGGUUGUAAAGUCCAGUCUAUAUGCUCCUUAUAGAGGUCCAAGGGGUUAAAUAACCUGGGUUGUAAAGUCAACUGUCUAUAUGCUCCUUAUAGAGGUCCAAGGGGUUAAAUAACCUGGGUUGUAAAGUCAACAGUCUAUAUGCUCCUUAUAGAGGUCCAAGGGGUUAAAUAACCUGGGUUGUAAAGUCAACUGUCUAUAUGCUCCUUAUAGAGGUCCAAGGGGUUAAAUAACCUGGGUUGUAAAGUCAACUGUCUAUAUGCUCCUUAUAGAGGUCCAAGGGGUUAAAUAACCUGGGUUGUAAUGUCAACAGUCUAUAUGCUCCUUAUAGAGGUCCUAGGGGUUAAAUAACCUGGGUUGUAAAGUCAGCAGUCUAUAUGCUCCUUAUAGAGGUCCAAGGGGUUAAAUAACCUGGGUUGUAAUGUCAACAGUCUAUAUGCUCCUUAUAGAGGUCCAAGGGGUUAAAUAACCUGGGUUGUAAAGUCAACUGUCUAUAUGCUCCUUAUAGAGGUCCAAGGGGUUAAAUAACCUGGGUUGUAAAGUCAACAGUCUAUAUGCUCCUUAUAGAGG